This 72-nucleotide transfer RNA is filed under the name Camelus bactrianus (Bactrian camel). It matches the Rfam family "tRNA". From Rfam's summary of the family: Transfer RNA (tRNA) molecules are approximately 80 nucleotides in length. Their secondary structure includes four short double-helical elements and three loops (D, anti-codon, and T loops). Further hydrogen bonds mediate the characteristic L-shaped molecular structure. tRNAs have two regions of fundamental functional importance: the anti-codon, which is responsible for specific mRNA codon recognition, and the 3' end, to which the tRNAs corresponding amino acid is attached (by aminoacyl-tRNA synthetases). tRNAs cope with the degeneracy of the genetic code in two manners: having more than one tRNA (with a specific anti-codon) for a particular amino acid; and 'wobble' base-pairing, i.e. permitting non-standard base-pairing at the 3rd anti-codon position. The record is from Rfam by way of RNAcentral. RNAcentral also lists the same sequence under 2 other names. Lineage: Eukaryota; Metazoa; Chordata; Mammalia; Artiodactyla; Camelidae.
GAGGGUCUAGCUCAGCGGUAGAGCACGUGUUUAGCAUGCACGAGGUCCUGGGUUCAGUCCCCGGUAUCUCCA